ACAGAAUAGGGUAACGGCACCUCAUUGAGGACAGCUUCAUAUGGAUGUGGACUUCAAAUACAUAACUAAAAAGGAAAAAAGAAAAACAAACAACCAAAGAAAAAAACAAAAAGAAGCAUUUCUACACUGGAUAUCCCAGAUUUGGAAAUGAUUUACUCCGAGAUGCAUGGGGCUAUUAGGGGCAAAAAAAGAGAAUUAAAAUCUUGGAAUUGUGGUUUCCUGAAACCCAGGAAAGUCUCUUUUGAGACCUCCUAAACUUAAAUGAUAAUGACCAGGAAAUGGAUUUCAACUAAGGAGUAUCAACACUUGAAAGGAACUAAAGUAACCAUCUGUGAAGAAAAAUGAAGCUGGUCAAAUCAUGUAAAGAAUCUGAAUUUGAAUCAUUUAGAAUUUGUUCACAACUAUGACUCAAUAGUUAUAGAUAGUGU
Mesocricetus auratus (golden hamster) is the source of this 428-nucleotide long non-coding RNA. RefSeq lists it as uncharacterized. The record is from RefSeq and is a predicted model, not a curated record. The transcript has 3 exons. NCBI's taxonomy places the organism in Eukaryota, Metazoa, Chordata, Mammalia, Rodentia, Cricetidae.